RNAcentral lists this unclassified non-coding RNA (939 nucleotides) under Rhopalosiphum maidis (corn leaf aphid). RNAcentral's name for it is "rRNA methyltransferase 2, mitochondrial, transcript variant X4". Lineage: Eukaryota; Metazoa; Arthropoda; Insecta; Hemiptera; Aphididae. The record is from RNAcentral.
UAAGUGACAUAAAAUAUAAAUAAAAAAUAAUAAAUAUUUGAAAAUAUCUUUUCCUUAAGUGUGGAUUUCCAACUGUCGAAAUAUUGUUUUAAAACCAAACGUUAUUAAUUGUUGAGUUUAUAAGUUGUAUAAUGGAAAAAAUUACGUGUUGUAAAAACUGGUCAUUUCUAAAAACAUUUACAAGAAACCACAGUUCAAAAGAAUGGCUAUUGCGACAAAAAACUGAUCCUUAUGUAGAAAAAGCCAAAAUAAAAAGUUAUAGAUGUAGAAGUGCAUUCAAACUAUUGCAAAUGGAUGAUAGAUUUUCUAUAUUGAAACCAGGCCAGUGUGUAAUAGAUAUUGGUGCAGCUCCGGGUAGCUGGUCACAAGUAGCUGCAUCUAAAAUUAAUUCAACUUCUACUAAUAGUGAAAUUCCAACAGGCUUACUGAUUGGUAUUGAUCUUCAACAAAUGUAUCCGAUAAAAGGAGUGACAUUAUUAGGAAAUUCUGAUUUUACAUCUCCUAAAACUUGGCAAAAGAUAAAAGAAUUAUUAAAUGGUCGUUCUAUAGAUGUUGUUUUAAGUGAUAUGGCACCUAACGCUUCAGGAGUGAAACAUUUAGAUCAUGAUUUAAUCAUAAAAUUAGCUUAUUCAGUAGUUAGAUUUGCUGUUUUAAAUUCAAAUGUUGGUGCAACGUGUUUAAUUAAAAUUUUAGAUGGUAAUCAAAAUUCAGAGAUUGAAAAUACUUUGUUAAAGUUUUAUUCAAAUGUAAAAUUUGUAAAACCUGAAGCCAGUCGAUCAGAUUCAGCAGAAAAAUAUUUACUUGCUCGUGGAUUUAAAGGACUUAAACAAAGUUAACUUCUGUCAAUGAAGGAAUGUUUACGCAUUAAUUAUUAUGCGUUCAAUCAAGAGUUUAAAUCGGACGACAUUAGCCAGUUUGCAUUGGAUUUUUUUCGAGAUA